GACAAGGUUCCAGACCCUACGGGGUGCAGCAGGCGCGAAACCUCCGCAAUGUACGAAAGUGCGACGGGGGGAUCCCAAGUGUCAUGCUUUUUUGUAUGACUUUUCAUUAGUGUAAAAAGCUUUUAGAAUAAGAGCUGGGCAAGACCGGUGCCAGCCGCCGCGGUAACACCGGCAGCUCGAGUGGUAGCUGUUUUUAUUGGGCCUAAAGCGUUCGUAGCCGGUUUGAUAAGUCUUUGGUGAAAGCUUGUAGCUUAACUAUAAGAAUUGCUGGAGAUACUAUUAGACUUGAAGUCGGGAGAGGUUAGAGGUACUACCGGGGUAGGGGUGAAAUCCUAUAAUCCUGGGAGGACCACCUGUGGCGAAGGCGUCUAACUGGAACGAUCUUGACGGUGAGUAACGAAAGCCAGGGGCGCGAACCGGAUUAGAUACCCGGGUAGUCCUGGCCGUAAACGAUGUGGACUUGGUGUUGGAAUGGCUUUGAGUUGUUCCUGUGCCGAAGGGAAGCUGUUAAGUCCACCGCCUGGGAAGUACGGUCGCAAGACUGAAACUUAA
This 552-nucleotide ribosomal RNA is filed under the name uncultured archaeon. RNAcentral's name for it is "bacterial SSU rRNA". It matches the Rfam family "Archaeal small subunit ribosomal RNA", at positions 307 to 859 of the family's 1478-position model. The record is from RNAcentral.